GACGGACGCUGGCGGCGUGCUUAACACAUGCAAGUCGUACGGUAAGGCCCUUUCGGGGGUACACGAGUGGCGAACGGGUGAGUAACACGUGAGUAACCUGCCCACAACUUUGGGAUAACGCUAGGAAACUGGUGCUAAUACUGGAUAUGUGCCCCUGCUGCAUGGUGGGGGUUGGAAAGCUCCGGCGGUUGUGGAUGGACUCGCGGCCUAUCAGCUUGUUGGUGGGGUAGUGGCCUACCAAGGCGGCGACGGGUAGCCGGCCUGAGAGGGUGACCGGCCACAUUGGGACUGAGAGACGGCCCAGACUCCUACGGGAGGCAGCAGUGGGGAAUAUUGCACAAUGGGCGCAAGCCUGAUGCAGCAACGCCGCGUGCGGGAUGACGGCCUUCGGGUUGUAAACCGCUUUCAGCAGGGACGAAGCUUUUUGUGACGGUACCUGCAGAAGAAGCACCGGCUAACUACGUG
This 465-nucleotide ribosomal RNA is filed under the name uncultured bacterium. Its description in RNAcentral is "partial 16S ribosomal RNA". It matches the Rfam family "Bacterial small subunit ribosomal RNA", at positions 28 to 507 of the family's 1533-position model. The record is from RNAcentral.